CAGCGUUCCUGCUCAAAAAAAGUGCAGGAACGCUGUUCCUGCAGGACUCAAACCAUAGGCGUGCCACGGGGAUUAAGGUGUGCCCAGGCACACCCGGCACACCCCGUGCGCACGCCUAUGUGUUUUGGUGUGUUUUCUGGACUUUAGGGAAAAUGUGUGUUUUUCUGCCUGUGGAUAAUUAGGUUCUUGUAUUAGCUGCUUUAUUUAUAUACCAGGCAGAGGGGAAGGCUUGUGUGCUGUAUGUGGGAGUGUCAGACAUUAUUGUAUUGUUUUGAUUAGUUUGUGUCCUUUGUGUCCUGUGCUCCACAAGGUCCACAUGGGUGAUAACCUUGUGGGGAAAAU
This is a non-coding RNA of Pelobates cultripes (western spadefoot toad), 342 nucleotides long. The record is from the annotation of a GenBank genome assembly. NCBI's taxonomy places the organism in Eukaryota, Metazoa, Chordata, Amphibia, Anura, Pelobatidae.